UGUGGUUCUGCCGAUACUCUC
Molecule: non-coding RNA, 21 nt
Filed under: Arabidopsis thaliana (thale cress)
Lineage: Eukaryota; Viridiplantae; Streptophyta; Magnoliopsida; Brassicales; Brassicaceae
Source: RNAcentral